CGAAAGCAUAAGUCCACAGCAUGAUAACUGAACAUUCAUUCUCUCCUGCUCCGAAUAAUUGCGUCAUUGUUCCUGCCAUAUUUUAAAGGAUCAAUAAACAAUACUUGAGAAUAAACUUACAUUUGUUAGAUUGAGCGAGCAACUUCUGAUUGCACUUUUUUGUUGCUAAACAACAGGAGCAAGCGUACCUAUGUUCAUCGCAGGUGGGAGUGAAAACUGAAGCAGAAGAACAAACAGAUAUAAUGGGUCAGAGUGCACCAACCCAAAUUUCAGUGCCCCUUUAAUAACCAAUAUGCCUAUAAGAGGCAGGGCAACAUAACGAACAACGAUGAUGCCAACGACAAGAGAUUUCUGAAUCCCUGACCCUCUCAAACCUGAAACAACAAUGUGAAGUAAGUUCUAAACUAAACCAACAAUUAAGUACAUCACUAACAGAAUUUGUAUGGGUUAUUACCCUUAAGUAGGUUUCCUCCUAUUAUCAAAGUGAGAGCUGGGAUGGCUCCGUCCCUGCAAUCAUAAAGAACAAGUCUCUUUAACUGAUGCUGAGUGAACAACAAAAAUGGUACAAACAGACAAGUAUUCUACUUUUAUGCUAAUUGAGAACCAAAUUAUUCAUUCGGAUAUGUACAACUAUAGGACCAAGCAUGGUUAGUAUCUUCCCUAGUAUGUAAUAGUAUUAAGAACGGGAAGCUAGAUUAGUUGCCAAUAAGUGCAUAGAUCGUGGAUAAAUUAUUAAGGUUUAAUACAGUUCGGGCAUAAGUUCGAUACCCCAACAAAUAAGCAGUAUCUUGAAUCACCCGUAGAGGAGCACCAUCUCCUAUCAGUAAUUUUCGAAUCUGAGGAAUGACUCCGAUUGCAAAACCAACAAUCUACACCAGGAAAAGAUUAAGUUUGCCCAAAUUUUCAAUAAAAUUGCGCUGAAUCUGGAUCACAAUGAUAUAAAAGUGCCGAACGGACAUACCGCUCCAAUAGUUGAAGGGGCAAAUAUUGUUUUCAGAUUGAUCUUUUCAAACACCAUCACUAUACGUUGCUUUAGUUUACCUGAAGUCGUCGCCUGCCAUGGAAAACAACAAAGAUAUGCAGUGUAAGAAAUUGAAAAGAAACAGGGCAACUUUCUCUUGUUAGAGAUGCCCGGCAUGUUACAUUGUGAGAUUGCGAAUCUGGAUCAUACAUUCAAAUGACAUUCAUUUGAUUAGUCGUCUGGAUUGACAGUCUAGCAAUAAAACAUUUCUAAGUAUUUCUGAGAAAAAGAUAUUUUCUCAAUAAACAAAUCUUAAUAUAGAUUUGUUGGAAAUACUUAAAGCAUCAAAUUGAAUGAGUAUCAUUGUAGUUUAAUGGAGUUAGCAACCUUUGGUUUUUCUUCAGGCGCAGCAGUGUAUGGCAGUGAAUAUUGAUCCCCAUUUUCCUCAACUAUGACAUAUUCCUUUGAAGAAAGCAGCGGCUCAGUGCAACUUACUUGGUCGGAUGUAGGGGACCUCUCGGCGGACUGAUUAGAAUCUUGGGUGCCCCUUGUUGAAGAUAUCCGCACAAUAUUAUAUACAUAGGACCACAAAUACACGGCUCCUAUCUGAAGCAUGAACACAAUUGCAUUACAAAAAGCAAAGAUAGGAAUCCCUGACAGCUGAACAAGGUAGCUACAUUGUAGAGGAGAAACAGUCGCUAGAAUUCAAGAGGAAAAUUGAAGGACAGAAGAAAAUGUGUUCAGAAAAAUGUAUUCUACACAGCAAGCAGGUGCACACGAACACCAUUUAAGAAGUGGCCCUGGCCGUUUGGGGUAGUACAAUUUGUAUGUAUAAUUGUAUAUGUUCUAGACAUGAGAUGAAACUUAUGAUGAUAUCAACGAUUAAAAUCGUGAGUUCGAAUCGCAGUAACUGCGCCUUUUCAACUUGAAUGAGAGAAAUGAAUUUUAACUUGUUUGAAGCAGCUUCCCAAUCCAUUCUUAAUUCGAAUCGUAGAAAGCAAGAUAAAGGAAUAAUAUUUCAAUAAAACCCAAAAUAUUAGAACAAGACGAAGAGGGAAUAUGUACCGCCAUUGAGAGCGAAGCAUAAGCCAUAGCAUAUGUGUGACAGACAUCAGGAGCUCCAAACGGGCUCCCUUUUUCUUUACAAACUGCUGGGACUAUAAUGAGGAGCAAGUUACCCAAAUUUCCUGUUAAGUGUUAACAUCAGCAUCUCUAAAGAUUGAUAAAACGCGAAACUGAGUAUUUAUCAGCUGCGAUUUAGAAUUAGAAAUAAGAUUAAAUUCAAAUAUGUGUUAGACUGUGAGGGUAGAGCGUUGACUUACCUGCAGCACAGCAACCCAAGACAAGGCCUCGCAGAUGUGCAGGAGGCCUUGUUAAUUGGAUGAGAAUCCAUCCGAGCACGGAACCAAUUAUAAACGUGAUGAGGAUAUUCACUGGCAUGAACCACCUAUACACAUAAUAAUUAUUACAACAUUCACAUGAUUAUAUAUACAUGUAUGUAUAUAUGUAGAUCGAACAAAGUAAUUACAACUCACAUUUUAACCAUGCUUUCAUAUGUAAUUGUCUUCGCAAGGUUGGAACCCACGAGAGCAGGACUGAACACAUAAAAUACAACCUGUUCGUUCGUUCGUUGGUUCACAAAACACAAAUACCAGUAAGAAAACAGUCCAACACGAGAAAUAAAUUGAUUGAAUGAAGAAGCGGUGUAGUGUUAUUAACUUACAGUGUUUAAGUUCUUUCUAGUAACUUCCCCCAAAAUAUCGACACGAUCAAGAGCAAGAUAAGAGCCAAGUGCUGUUAUCAAAAGCACUUUCAACACCGGAAUUGAGGCCGUCACGAACAGCUGCAGAAGUUCCAUCCUCUUCUUUUAUCAAUUAUUCUAAAUUAUUAUUAGCUCGUCCUCACCUCCCCUCUGCCACCUCUGUUUCUGCAAACGUAAUGACAAACCAAACAGAAAACAAAGAGACAAUCAAAAUGCUAGUUUUUGGGAGAGGAAUUAACAACAUAUAUAUAUAUAUACGUUUAUGAUACUAAUAAGAGAGAAUUAGAGUAAAAUGGGGAGGUUUUUAAGAUGUGGGAUCGAACCUCCGGAUUCGUAUUAAAUAGUACUAUUAUGGCAUGUGCCAAACGAGGCCCAACCUGUAAAGUUAAGCUCAGAAUGAUUUGCUUUUAUUUUGCUUUCAUGAAAACAGAGGAGAGGAGGGGAAGAGGAAAAACAACAAGAGAGCUUAUGCAUUUAUGUGAAUGAAUGCAUAUGCAUUUAUGCACCAAUUAUACCUGUAGUCGCGUGUCAGAGCUGGGUCGACCCGAUGCAGAUGGGAUCAUGUGAUGGCGCUGAAAUAAAACAGUUUAAUCAACACACGUCUCAUCUGGCGUCAGCGUUUCUGUCUUUUUCUGCUUCCCAUUUCCUUUGCCAAUGGUGACUUGGUUACUACAAUUGGCCCUUCGCAAUCACUGCUAUUUCAUUAUGUCAUGUCCCUCCCAAGGGAGAGACAGAAAGCCACACUUCGUUGCAACCACAUGUUUGCAACCGCAUGUGCGCGGUUAAUUCUCAUAAAACAUAUUCAUUUAUUCUUCAUCAUCAGUAUUACAUUUAACAGCGAAUGAUCGUAUCAUUUAUUUUUAGUGUAAAAAUUUGAUUUUUCGUUAAAAUGAACAGUACCGGGAGUUUUUCGUUAAAGUUCUCUUAUUUUAACCCAUCCCUUAUUUUAACCCAUACUAGCAUUUGUCUACACACUUUGUGUGUAUGAACACAUUUUUUUAGAAAAUCAGAAGAAGAGAGGGAGAGGGAGAGGGAGAACUGGGGGGCGGGGGGAGUUUUUUUUGUUUUUUUGUUUUUUUUAAUAUUGGAAGUAUUUUAACAUCACAUGUAGGUGAGGCUUCAAUAAAAAAUAGUAAAAUUUGGACCUGUGAAAUUACAUCAUUGCCAUCAUAUUUUUUGUGUGAUAGAAGACGAGUUUAUCUUUUAUCCUCUUUUGGUUGACAAAGAGGGUUUUAUUAAUUAGUAGAGAUAAUGAACUGUUUGAUCCUCAUGAAAAUAGAUGAUUAAAUGAUAGGGGUGCAACUUGGGUGGGAAAUUUGGAAAUAUAACCAAAAUUUGUACCUCAUAUAGAAUUAUAGCCAUGAUUUUAAUUUUAUGAUAACUAUAACCAAAAGUUAAUAUAAAAGUACUACUAUACCCUUAAUCACUGAAUCCUUAUAUGUUGUUUUCCUAAACCCACCUGUAACCAAUCUCCAUCCAAGUCAGCUCCGACAGAGAGUUGCGAUUGGAAAGCUGAGCCUUGGAUCCUUCACUUUACACGCGUUUUUGCCUUUCUAUCUCUCUCUGCUUUUUUUUUCUUUCCAUCUCUAGUCUUAAAAAGCUUUAACUUUUAGCUUUUGGGUAUUCAAAUGAGAAGAAACUAGGAGGAGGAGGAGGAGGAGGAGGAGGAGGAGGAGGAAGAAAUCGGUAGAAUUAGAACAUAGAAUUAUCAAUUUAACUUCUUAAACUCGUAUCUAAAUUAAAUGAUUGUUUAGUUGUAUUGGAUUUUCUUCUAAAUUUUCAAAAUUUUCCAUCUGAGUUUUUGUGAACACGAAAUUUUCCUGAAACGAAACGAGACAAGAACAACGUGCACAAAAUAAUAUUAUGUAUUUUGAUGAUUUUGGGUUACAAUCUCUCUCAAAUUUGAUCCUCUGAUUCGAUCUCCGUAAGGUGUUGAUUUGUGGAUGUUUCGUUGAUCCAAGGGCCGUUGAGGCUUGAUCUUGGAUGAACUGUUGGAAGUUUCUUCAAGGGGCCGUGGGCUUGAUCUUUGAAGGUGGAUUUGAGCGGAUCUUCAAGGAGCCGUUGGGGCUUGAUCUUGAGGAUGAAUGUUUCUUCAAGGGCCGUUAAAGCUUGAUCUUGAAUAACGGUGAUGAACGGAUCUUCAAGGGCUUUUGGGCUUAAUCUUGAAGAACGGUUGGAUGUGUGGAUUUGUCAACGUUGUUGAUCCAAAGGGCCGUUGGGGCUUGAUCUUAAGAUGAACGAAUGAUGAACGAUGGUGCUUUCUUCAAGGGCCGUCGGGGCUUGAUCUUGAAUUGGUGGAAGUUCUUCAAGGGGCCUUUGGGGCUUGAUCUUGAAUUGGUGGAUGAUUGUUGAUCCAAAGGGCUGUUAGGGCUUGAUCUUGAGUUGGUGAUUGUUGAUCCAAGGGCCGUCGGGGCUUGAUCUUGGAAGAACGAUGAACGAGGAACGAAGAACACUUUCUUCAAGGGCCGUCGGGGCUUGAUCUUGGAAGAACGAUGAACGAAGAACGAAGAAGGCUUUCUUGAGUCUUCGGGAACCUGGAUGCUUGAGAGCUUCGGAGUUUCAGAGCUUCAGAGCUUCAAGGUGUAAUAUGAAUUGGUCCUCCUCAAAUGAAUGAAUUAGCCUUCUAUUUAUAGAAAUUUCCAAGGCCUAAUUUUGAAUAUAAUAUUCUAGAUAAAAUAAGUCGUUUCUGCCAGGUGUUGACACGUGUCCUGUUUGAUGACUUUUCCAACUCAUUUCAAUUUUUUCGUCGAGUCACACGCUACGUGUAAAAUUUAUGUAAUACAUGAGCGUUGAAACUUUGAUUUAUCGAUCAACAUUUAUUUACCGAAAUUUCGAUGUCUACAAAUGCCCCCACUUCAAGGCGCGUUCGUAUACAUGUGCUUGUCGCGUGUAGGAGAUGCGUUUUUGAAGUCCCUUAAUGUAGAUGUCGAUCCAAGGGCCGUCGAGGCUUGAUCUUGAAUUGGGCUGGAGAUUUCUUCAAGGACCACAUGCUUAUGGAUGAUGGGUCGGCCAUAAAAAUCAUGCCAAAAUCAAUAAUGACCACAAUCAGUAUCAAGGUAGAUAACCUAUCCCAAAGCCAUCUCGUAAUCCAAGUAUAGAUGACCAUUGGUGAACUCAAAUCAAGCACAUUAUUCUAUGUGAUUGAUGCAAGAACUUCCUACAUCUUGAUAUUAGGAAUGCCUUGGAUCCACGAGAAUGGAGUAGUGUCGUCCACCUUUCAUCAAUGCUUAAAGUUCUACCGAGAAGGAGUAAAGGUGAUACAAGGCGAAACUAAGCCAUUCACCGAAGCUGAAUCACACUUUGCAGACACCAAGUUCUACAUGUAUGAAGACAUGGUGCCCGAAGCUCUUCCAAAAGAAAUCAAAUCCACAUGCAAAGCCACACCUAAGAAACAAUAGUGGCAAGCCGUGCCCACUACAAUCAAAGGGAGUGUGAUGCACUCAAAAUGAGGAAACACACCCGUCUACUGAUACAUCCCAAUGUCGAGAAGAAAGAAUGGGCAAUCCCCAUUCGAAACUGGAACAAGCAAAGCCAACACAUAGUUGCACAAGGACAAUGUAAAGCUACUCAACACAAACGCAGUAUUACCUCUGACAUAGCUAAGCAACGCUAAGGUUUCAAAACCACCACAAGGUUUCAUAAAACCCCUGUUGGAAAUGUGCCCUAAAACCAAUCAUGUGAUGAUGCUUUACGGACAUUUCACAUGUUAAACUAAUCUAGUUUAAUAUAAAGGGCAAAGAUUAUUGUUUGAGCCGUCUCAUAUAAAUGUUAUAUGCUUAAACGAUAAAGUCCAAGGAAUAUGUGAUUGGGAGAAUGUAAUCUAAUGAAGUUAGAUUCCUGAGACCAUUCUUUCGUAGACACAUCCUAAAUGUUCCUGAUCAUAGGAUUGCCAAUUGGGCAUUGACAGUCCGUCAAGAUCGGUACGUCCUAUGUCUUCUCUCAGGAAGAGUGACUAGUCUCGAGUCAUUGGUGUGUGUGACAUCAAGACAAGUACGUAGGUGCUCAGUAGAGAAUGAGUUCACUGAACGCGAUCAACGAAGAGUUCUCAUACUCAUGUCACAUGAGAACUCAUGGUUGGGAUAAUGCAAAGUAGUCAUUUGACCUAAGGCAUCACAGUUGUCUUGUGGUUAAGUCCUUGAUCUUUGAUUAUGUCAAAGUCACCCCAUCGGGGUGUCCAUGGCAUCGUUUGUUCUUGGACUUUGUUUGAGAUUUCUUCAAGGGCCGUUUGAGGCUUGUUCUUGAACUUUUGUUUGAAAUUUCUUCAAGGGCCGUCGAGGCUCGAUCAACAUUUAUUUACCGAAAUUUCGAUGUCUACAGUUUUAUCUUUGAUUAUCAUAUUUGGUAUCGGAUAGCUGCUGGACUUGAUUCAUCAUCAUCAUCUUCUUCUUCUUCUUCUUCUCUCCAAACUUUUUCCAUUUUUUUAAUUUAUAAUUUUGGGUGAAAAUUUCUAAUCAAAUUUUCCAGCUGGGUGGAAAAUAAUUCAAGAAAAAAGGUGUUCGUGGCCAUUUGGCAUCCACAUGGUGGGGGUGGGGGAUCGGAGCUAUAUUGUGUGUUGGAGAAAAAGAUAGAGGACGGUGGGGUGGGGCUAGGGAUGGGCAAUGGUUAUGGCGGGCGGCUAACCGAGGUUAUUUACUCAUAACCGUUUAUAUUCAUACCCGUAUAUCCGUUUACCCGUUGGGUAAUUGCAUAAACGGUUAUACUCAUACCCAUAACUGUUUAUAAAUGGUUAACCAUACCUAUUUAACCAUAACCGUUUACCCAUUUAACAAUAAUCAUUUACUUGUGUUUGUACCAUACUUGACCAAUCCCGAAACUACCGAGCACCGGCCAACGCUAUACUGUCAAGGACCCAGAAGAGUUCCCCUCCGACCAGGAGGCCAAUCAUUACUCGACACGUGUCAAGAUUAGAAGCCAAUCAGAGCGCAGCACGUGUCGACAUCAAGAACCAAUCAUAACAUGACACAUGUCAAUGUGACAAAGCUACAAGUUUUUCUAUAAAUAGGGGUCAUUCCCCCACAAUAUUGGCUAAUGCCAUUUGUGUUAAAUCAUUCACAAGAACUCACUAAAUUGAGAGCUUGAUCCUUUGUACUUGUGUAAGCCCUUCACUACUAAUAAGAACUCUUCUACUCCGUGGACGUAGCCAAUCUGGUGAACCACGUACAUCCUGUGUUUGCUUCUCUGUCUCUAUUCAUUUACGUACUUAUCCUCACUAGUGACCGAAGCAACCAAGCGAAGGUCACAAAACCUGACACUUUCUGUUGUACCAAAGUCUUCGCUGAUUUUGUGCAUCAACAUUUGGCGCCGUCUGUGGGAAACGACACUUAUUCCUACUCUCUUCAGCUGUGUCAAGCUGGUUUCUAUCAUUCGUACACUUUCUUUUGAUCAGGCAUCCCUCUCCAGCAUGGGAAGCGAAGGAAGCCACAGCACACAGAAUGACACCCCCUUGCACAUAGUGCGAAACAACGAAAGAAGGAAGGAAAACGAGUUCUUCUUCAAGCUAAAGUCGAUGAGUUGGAAGCUCAGAACAACAGAGAUAGCAAUGAGGGAAUGAGGUCCUCCAGGAGCAAUAUGAGAAGCUCUUCGAGACACUUCACGAAGCUAGGCAAGCUCAGACACGCGAGCUUGUUGCCCCCGUGGAAGUCAACCAUCAACUGGGUGCCCCUCCAACAUGGAGGGUCACAUGCAUUCGACAUAGAUAUCCCUGAUAGGGAACAAUUACCCCUCGAUUUGAUAAUCAACAUGAGGCUUCUCUUAACCCAGUUGCUUCGACCCGAACCAUGAGAAGCGGAGGGAGACACCUCUUUGCUGAAGGGGCAGAAGGAUCGAAAGCCGUCUUUCGCGAUUGUCGGGAUUUCCUGAAGCAACGUCGAGAGAAUUCCAUCCAUAUAAGCUCAAAGAUCAAUGACCCAAGGAUUUCUGAGAGACUCGGUCCCCUGCCACGGCCCGAGCCGGCCACCAAUUUGGGGAAGGGGCAACAAGUCCUAGAGAGACAUGAGGGUACAGGGGACUCAGAGGUGUUCCGACAGACAUACCCUGGAAGCCAGUACAGCGAGUCCAGGAAAAAAUCACAUGCCCUUGAUCAAACCUUCCUAAAUUCCAAGAGGAGAUGGAGAUUUACGAAAGAAAGCUCCAGUGGCACAUAACUCCGCUCAGGACCCCCUUGUCCUACAACUUUCUUGAGGAAGUAAACAAGUUGAAGGCUGAACGUCAGGCUGAAAUACCUGACUGGAACCAACCCAGGCCUGGCCCCUCUUACAAGGAGGAUCCUCAACACCCCCUUCAAGCAAAGACAAAGCAGAAGCUUGGCUUGCAACUUUAUACUGGAAAAGAGGACCCGAUUGAGCACCUUAACCUCUUUGAGUCCACCAUGGCAUACCGGAUGCACACCGACGAAGAGCGAUGUCUUCUCUUCCCCUCCACCCUCUCUGGCGGAGCUCUAAAUUGGUAUUGUCGUCUUACACCUGAGACGGUAGACUCAUUUGAGGAAUUGAGGAAACUAUUUGUUUUCCAACACAUUUUCCAAACCGAUCGCUUGCACUCUGCAGAUGACCUGUACACUAUCCGCCAGAGGCCAGACGAGUCAUUACAUAUGUAUGCUGGCCGCUUCAGCCAUGAAUAUUCCCGGUGUGCCGAGGCAGACGACAAGACUGCCCUCAAAGCCUUCACGGCAGGCCUACGUGAUUGUUUCUUUAAAUACAUGAUCAAUGCCAAUACUUGGAAGACUUACUCUGAGGUGAUGGCGCAGGCUUAUAACCAUGCCUCCGCCGAGGCAAAGACAUAUCAGGAGAAACCCCCUCACCCAACGCCAUGGAGGAAGAACUAGCAAUAGCUAAAGUUUGACGGUUGGGAAGAUCAUCCAAUGUUUCUCUAGUACAGGACUCUAACAAAGACCCUGAAGACUCCGACAUUGCAGACUCAGACUUAGAGCUAAAGCUAGAAGAGCCCUCAUCACUAGAACUUCCAGGCUCUGACAUCUACAAUAAGAAGAAACAAAUUCUAUCACUACAUGCAUGAUCAAAACAUAAGGAAGUUCCUAUAUUACCCACAUGAAGAUGGUGCAAAGCGAUGCCGGAACCCUUCUCAAUCAGAAAGCAAUCCGUCUUCCACAGUCACUACAAAACAAGCAAAUGAAGACCGUGUCAAGCGCCAAAAAAAAAAAAAAAAAAAAAAAAAAAGCUUCAUCCAAAAAGCUUCACCUCCAAAACUUCACCCAAAAAGCUUCAUCCAAAAAGUUUCUUCCAAAAAGCUUCACCUAAAAAAGCUUCACCAAAAAAAAAAAAAACUUCACCUCCAAAAAGCUUCACCCAAACAGCUUCACCUAAAAAAGCUUCACCCACAAAAGCUUCACCUAAAAAGCUUCACCCACAAAGCUUCACCCAAAAAGCUUCACCUCCAAAACUUCACCCAAAAAGCUUCAUCCAAAAAGUUUCACCCAAAAAGCUUCACCUAAAAAAGCUUCACCCAAAAAAAAAAAAAAAAAAAAAAAAAACUUCACCUCCAAAAAGCUUCACCCAAACAGCUUCACCUAAAAAAGCUUCACCCACAAAGCUUUCACCUAAAAAAGCUUCACCCACAAAGCUUCACCCAAAAACUUCACCCGAAAAGCUUUCACUUAAAAAAGCUUCACCUAACACAGCUUCACCUAAAAAAGCUUCACCUAGAAAGCUCCCUCUACAUACUUUCACCUACAAAGCUUCACCAUCAAAGCUUCACCUCGAAAGCUUCAUCUACAAAGCUUUAUCUACAAAGCUUCACCAUCAAAGCUUCACCCAAAAAGCUUCACCUAAAAAAGCUUCACCCAAAAAAAACUCCACCUCCAAAAAGCUUUCACCCAAACAGCUUCACCUAAAAAAGCUUCACCCACAAAGCUUCACCUAAAAAGCUUCACCCACAAAGCUUCACCCAAAAAACUUCACCCGAAAAAGCUUCACUUAAAAAAGUUUCACCUACAAAGCCUUCACCUAAAAAAGCUUCACCUAGAAAGCUUCACCUACAUAGCUUCACCCAGAAAGCUUCAUCUACAAAGCUUCACCAUCAAAGCUUCACCUCCAAAGCUUCACCUACAAAGCUUCAACACAAAAACCUUGCUCCAAAUAAACAAAUUUUGUUCACAAAACCCAAGAUGCCCUUGAACUUGUACAAAAACACUUGGGUAAACAUAAACAUUUUUUGUUUUACACCCACAAGGGCCCAAAAUUUUCCUUCUUAUUUAUUCACUUAUAUAUGUUCCCAAACAUAUUAUAAUAGAUCCAACAACAAGCCAAAGUCCCAAGUUUCAUAAUGGACAAAAGUACAAAGCAAUUCAUCAAUAAUGAAGGUGCUACAAAACUUGGAAAUCUGCCCCAAAAAUAGAAAUCCAACCCAAGAGACUUUUUCUCUCUCUCCCUCUUCCGCCUCCUUUCAUCUAUCAAAUUUCUGCAAACCUCUGCUCUUCUCCAAUGGAGCUGAAUUUUGGACACCUAUAGUUUUUGAGCAUCAUGAACAACUUUCAAGAAGGAACCAUUUCUGUUUUGAAGCGACGGAAAUUAAAGUGUUGAAGCUCCAAACAUGACAGUCGAUUCUUGCAGAUUUCGAAGCUGCUAUGAUGUUUCGAAGAUCUGGAAAUAUUUAACCAUUAGUUCAUUCUGAAUUUUUGAUAUGUUAUGAAAGAGACGAUGAGGCACAACUUCAAUGAAGAAAGCAUGCUGAUCUGAACAAUAGAAAAUGGAGUUUCGAAGCUCACAAACAAAUCUGACGGGUUGACAGAAAAAAUAAUAACCAGUCAUUCAUCAUACCUAAAUUUCUUGAGUUAUACAGCUCCGAGGGAUCUAAAAUUUGGAUAUGUUGUAGUUCACAAGCUGAGGAACAACUUCAAUGAAGAAAGAAUGCUGAUCUGAGCAAGAGAAAAUAGAGUUUCAAAGCUCACAACAAAUCUGACGGGUUGACAGACAAAUGAUAAACAGUCACUCAUCAUACCUGGAUUUUCUGGAGUUAUACUGCUCCGAGGGACCUCAAAUUUGGAUAUGUUGUAGUUCACAAGUUAAGGAACAACUUCGAUGAAGAAAGUAUGUUGAGAUGAACAAGAAAAAAUGGAGUUUAGAAGCUCACAACAAGUCUGACGGGUUAACAGAAAAUUGAUGAACAGUUUACUCAUCAUACCUGAAUUUCUGGAGUUUGUACUACUCCGAUGGAUCUCAAAUUUGGAGAUGUUGUAGUUCACAAGAUAAGGAACAACUUUCAUGAAGACGACUUUGCGAUAUGAGCUAUAGAGAAUGGUGUUAUCUUGCAUCCACUCAGGCUGAUUAGUGGAAACGAAAAGCAAUUCCACCAAAGAAAAGAUGAAAAAGAGAAGAAAAGCUACUAAUUGCACUUGAUCUUGUCUAGUCAAUAGCAUGCAGCAUCAAACACACAAAAGUUGGAAAUAUUUUUAGACAAGGCAUAUGCGAAUGUGUGACAUCGAAACAAGGAUUCGUUACUUUGACAAAUUAGUAACAAGCGAGACACCUCAUUCGGCAACUCUAUUCGCCUGAAGACUUGGGGGACUCCCACCAUAUGCUACUGCACCUUAAUACUCGGCAGUCUCACAACCACUCAGUGACUUGGAUUUUUCAAGUCUCCAACCGAGAAGUUUUUCCUCACUCGGGAAAUUAAGGGAACACUACCUCAAACUACAUGCUUCACUCACAAAGCUUCAACAAUACAGGUUUCAACAAAAGCAAAAAUUCAAAGAACUUUAUGAAGAAGGCUUUGGUGUAUUUAACACAAUAUAUUGAAAUGAAGCAAAGCUUAUUUAUUAAUAUUUUCGAUAAGCCACAAAUAUGUACAUAUACAUGAGUCAAAAAUAAACAAACAAAAGGGAGCCUUCACAAAGGUUGCUUAGGGGAAGUCUCAGCAGUCGGUAGAGCCCCAGAAAGAGAAAGCACCGGAGGGUGGUUAUCCGGAGCCUCAGUACUUGACAAAACCCCAGAAGGAUGAGGCAUUGGAGGUUCAUCAUUUGAAGCUUCAUUACCAGGUACAGCCCCAGAGGACGAAGGCAAUAAAUGCCUUUGGAACAAACCCACAAACCGCUGAUGAUCAAGUAAAACCUUACCAUCAGAUUCCUUCAUCUGGUCAAGCUUCCUCUUCAUGUUUGUAGCAUAGUCAUGGGCGAGCCGGUGCAACUGCUUAUUCUCAUGCUUGAGCCCUCUAAUCUCCUGUUUGAGACUCAUCACUUCAGCAGCCAAUGAUUCAACUUGGCGGGUUCUAGCAAAUAGGCGUUGGGCCAUAUUAGACACAGAACCUGCACACUGAACACUAAGAGCCAGAAAGUCCUUAACAGCCAACUCAUCAGACCGUUUGGAAAGUAGUCUGUUAUCUUUGGGAGUGAGAAGGUUCCUGGCCACCACUGCAGCGGUCAUAUCAUUCUUCAUCACAGAAUCCCCAACGGUAAGAGGACCAGUAGGGGAUAUGAAGGAUGGGCGCCAUAUGUUGUCUGGAGAAGGCGUGGCUGUCUCUUCUCCAAGGUUCAGGUCAAAACGACGGUCGGAGGGUCCAGACAUUUUCAAAUGUGUUGAAGAAGGAAGAGGUCAGACAAAUCAAGAUCUUAGAAGUGCAAGAAAUGAGCUUCUACUGGUAAAGAUUCAGGUGUGCUGUGGAACUUAAUGCCAGCCUCUAUAAAAAUCUGCACUCGACGGAGCUUCAGAAAUCGAAGAGGCGUUUGCUUUCUCAAAAGCUGGGCUGCUCAGAGACCACGAGGGCCGAUCUCAGAAAUCGAAGAGGCGUUUGCUUUCUCAAAAGCUGGGCUGCUCAGAGACCACGAGGGCCGAUCUCAGAAAUCGAAGAGGCGUUUGCUUUCUCAAAAGCUGGGCUGCUCAGAGACCACGAGGGCCGAUCUCAGAAAUCGAAGAAGCACCUGCUUUUUCAGCCUCGUCAGCACCUGUCACAUGCACAAUCAGCUUUGCGGAAAUUACGGGCAAUCUGUCGAAGAUUUCUGGUGAAGUAAAAAGCACGUGAAUCUUACUGUUCAAUCACCGCUCUCCAUAUGCACCAUCAACUCCUCGGGUACCACAUAUAACUUUUUCAAAGAUCUCUGACAAAGUUUAGGCACGAGAAUUUCGAAGUUCCAGCUACCCUACUAUUACCCAUAAGGGUAAAGGAACAGCACCAUUGCUUGACAACUGGAAAGUCCAUAUGUGUGUCGACCUCCGUGUUUUGCGGCAAGACAGGUUGGCAAGAACGUCCAACCUUUACUCACAUUCGAGAAAAGACUCCCAACAUAAUUACUUUCUCAAAAACCGGAGUAGCACCGCUUUCCGAAUCUCGAGAUUCAGAUCCUCGACGGGAUUGCUUGUUCGAAAACCGAAGAGGCACAACUCUCAGAACUUCGAGAGCCAGAUUUCCUUAGAUAAAGCUUGUCUGUAAUCUUCACACGUAAUAUCAGCUUUCCAGAUACCACAUACCACUUUUUCAAAGUGCUCUGACAAAAUUAAAACACGUGAAGCUGGCAACUCCCACUACAUUGCUGUGACCAAGAAGGGUAAAGGAAUAGCAUUACUACUUGUUAUUGGGAAAUCCCUAUAUACAUUGACCUCCCUCCUCAACGGACAGGCAAACCUGCAAAAAAUGCUCAACCCUUUCUCGCAUUCGAAAAGGCACCCUCAACAUAAACUCUCGAAAUACUCAGCUUUAUUUCCCCCCGAUAAUACCUCAGCAAAUAAGCCACACCAAGAACAAGAGUAUCUCAUAUCAUCAGGGUCGAAAGCAAAGUAUCCCAUAUCAUGCUUUCUCCCUAUCUUUGUCUUUGUCCUUGUCCACACCUGCAGGACAAGGAGAAAGAGAGCAGUCAGUCGGAACCUGAAAUCAAACCUCCAAUUUGGAACUGACUGCCUGGAGCCUUUGCCUGGUUGCUUACUUAGCAUUGCUCUCGAGUACUCAUCCUCAACUGCUGUCAAGGUCACGAAUUCCACCGGCAAAUACCUCAUGACAGUUGAUCAGAUAUUGGCUCUUUACACUGAAGCUGCCAAGCAUGGAUGAGUCACUAUGAAGGAAUGUUCUGAAGGACCAUUUAAAUGCAAAGGUUGCACACCACUUCUGCCAUGCAAAAGAUUGAAGCAGAAGGUUCAACGGUGAGCUGAAACAGAUCACUACAGCACGACACCUUUCCAUACCACAUUCAUUAUUCCGUCAACAGCAAAAGUAUCCCAUAUUAUCAAGGUCGAACGUACUUUAGAUUUGAUGGACUUGUUUUGACCCUCAAAUUUUUGAGUCGGCCUUAUACUCUGAAGGGCACCAGAAAACCCUCCAGCACAGUUCAAGAAUAAGCCUGUGGAAAGUUACUUCUUCAAAAGCAAAAGUAUCUCAUAUCAUCUCUUAUCCAUUUGCUUCUCCUUAUCCUGGCAGUUGAAUGAGAGACAAGGAGAAGGAGAACAAUCAACCGGAAGCCGAAGUCAAACCUCUGAUCCUGGGUUGCUUACUUGGAAGUUUGACUGCUUACCUUGUCUGUCACCUCUUUCGGCAGAUCUCCUAGCUCGGUGACUUGGGGGACUCCUACUAUAGGGUUUGUAUCACACUUGACUAAGCCCGAAACUACAACUAAGCUUCAAGUGAAAUUGAUACAUUACCUUGUGCGUCAACAUCAGCUAAAUACACCAUUCCCGGAUGGAGGAAAGGUACUUCCAGAGAAGGGCAGAUGAAGAUCAGACCACACUUCGGUACUUAGAAGUUUCGUGAUUACUCAAGGGAUUGGAUCUUGCAAGUCCCCAACCGAGGAGUUUCCCUCACUCGGGAACUUAGGGGAGCACUGUUUGUACCAUACUUGACCAAUCCCGAAACUACCGAGCACCGGCCAACGCUAUACUGUCAAGGACCCAGAAGAGUUCUCCUCCGACCAGGAGGCCAAUCAUUACUCGACACGUGUCAAGAUUAGAAGCCAAUCAGAGCGCAGCACGUGUCGACAUCAAGAACCAAUCAUAACAUGACACAUGUCAAUGUGACAAAGCUACAAGUUUUUCUAUAAAUAGGGGUCAUUCCCCCACAAUAUUGGCUAAUGCCAUUUGUGUUAAAUCAUUCACAAGAACUCACUAAAUUGAGAGCUUGAUCCUUUGUACUUGUGUAAGCCCUUCACUACUAAUAAGAACUCUUCUACUCCGUGGACGUAGCCAAUCUGGGUGAACCACGUACAUCCUGUGUUUGCUUCUCUGUCUCUAUUCAUUUACGUACUUAUCCUCACUAGUGACCGAAGCAACCAAGCGAAGGUCACAAAACCUGACACUUUCUGUUGUACCAAAGUCUUCGCUGAUUUUGUGCAUCAACAACUUGUUUACCCGUUUAUCCUUUUUUUACCCAUUUUCACCGUCUACGUGUUUUUUUUUAACAACUUGAAAAUUACAAAAGAAAAAUUUGUCAUAAUUUUCGUUUUCUGACAAUUAAACACCAUUAUAGGUACAUUUUAGCAUGCAUUUCCCUAUUUUAAUCAUUUAAGUCCUCAUACAAUUCCAAUAAUUAAAAUAAUAGUUUACGAACGAUAUUUUUCUACUACACCCAAGCAAGUCUUUAAUUAUAAUCCAUAUAUUAAGUAAGCUUCUAAAAACAAAAAGUAGUCAUUAUCUUAAAUACUAGAUGAUUCAAAGCUCCAAAAUAUUACGAAACUAAACACUUUCGAACACUAAUGCUUUAGCACGUUCAAUCACAAAGUCUUAUUGACUCGUGUCACCAAAAGAGGCCUACAAAAGAAAUGUAUAAAUUGAAUUAGUAUCCCAUUUAGGAACACCGACACCAAUUAGCAUGAAUCCAACAGAGAUAAGUGAUCACAUAAUGUUUACAUUGUACACUCAGUUAUCAGAAGAAAAAAAAGAAAAAAAAAGAAAAAAGCAAACAAAAGCGGAGUACCAAAUCAAUUGAGAGAUAGAUGAGUGGCGGAGAUGAGAGAGAGGGAAGUGAGGAGGGAGAGAUGAGCGGGAGACGGAGCGUUUGAGACUCUAAGUUUGGCAAAGAGAUUGAAAAUUUAAGGUUUUUAAUUUUUUUUUAAUUUUACAUAUAUUAAAGAGUAAACUGUCAUUUAACCCCCUAAACUAUCACGUGAGUUUCAAUUUCCCCCAUGAACUAUUUUUUCAGCCAAUUGACCCCCUAAACUAUGUUAAAGUUGCCAAUUAACCCCCUACCGUUAAGUAUCUUUAACUCCAUCCAAUUUUCUGUUAGAAAGUGUCAUGUGCUUGUCACAUGACCACCUUUUUACAUUUUAUGUCUAAAUCUUUACAAAGAAAACAUAUAAAACAACUAUAAAAAAAAAACAUACAAACCCUAAACUUAAUCAUUCAAAAUAAUAGAAAAAGUAAGGCUUUUUAUAUUAACACCCCAUAAAAUGUUGAAUGCACCCAUAUUAAAAUUUAAUAUUAAAUGACUUAUUUACUCUACUAUGCAAUGACAAUUUUGACCUUAUUAGGUUUUAAAAAAAAAAAUUAUAAAUACACCCCAAAUCACUUUUAGCGUAUUAUUUAUAUUCUCAACUAUCAAAACCCUCUCAUCCUCCAUUGUUGAACAAAACCCUAAUCAAUGAAACUACAAACAUGUUGAUUGAGAAAAAUUGUUUUUGACGAAUGAAACACGAAAUCAAUGUUUCUGAAGCUUCACAUGAGGUAAGACUUCACAAUUUUCAUUGUUUUAGUGAUUUCGAUGACAUCGAUAAUUAUUUAAUCUUGCGUUUGCUGCAUUAUUUAAACUUAUAUAUUCAUAUUCAUAUUCAUCUUUUAGGGUUCAUAUUGAAAAAUAAUGCAGCAAACGCAAGAUUAAAUAAUUAUCGAUGUCAUCGAAAUUACUAAAACAAUGAAAAAUGUGAAGUCUUACCUCAUGUGAAGCUUCAGAAACAUCGAUUUCAUGUUUCAUUCAUCAAAAACAAAUUUUCUCAAUCAACAUGUUUGUAGUUUCAUUGGUUAGGAUUUUGUUCAACAAUGGAGGAUGAGAGGGUUUUGAUAGUUGAGAAGAUAAAUAAUAUGCUAAAAGUGAUUUGGGAUGUAUUUAUAAAUUUUUUUUAAACCUAAUAAGGUCAAAAUUGUCAUUGCAUAGUGGAGUAAAUAAGUCAUUUAAUAUUAAAUUUUAAUAUGGGGUGCAUUCAACAUUUUGUGGGGUGUUAAUAUAAAAAGCCUUACCUUUUCUAUUAUUUUGAAUGAUUAAGUUUAGGGUUUGUAUGUUUUUUUUUUAAUAUUUAUUUUAUAUGUUUUCUUUGUAAAGAUUUAGACAUAAAAUGUAAAAAGGUGGUCAUGUGCCAAGCACAUGACUCUUUCUAACAGAAAAUUAGAUGGAGUUAAAGAUAUUUAACGGUAGGGGGUUAAUUGGCCACUUUAAUAUAGUUUAGGGGGUCAAUUGGCUGAAAAAAUAGUUCAGGAGGGAAAUUGAAACUCACGUGAUAGUUUAGGGGGUUAAAUGACAGUUUACUCUAUAUUAAAUUAAAUAGGUAAAUGGAUACCCAUUAUAACUGCGGGUAAUACCCAUAACUGAUGGAUACUCGUUAUAACCGCGAGUAAUACCCAUACCCAUUUAAAUUUCAUAGAUAAACGGUUGGGUAUAACCGUUUGUUCGUCUAAACGGUUAUCCAUAACCAUAACCAUGAACUUUAAAUGGGCGGGUAACUACGGUUACCCAAACCCAUGGAUAUUUUGCCCAUCCCUAGGUGGGGCGGAGCUGCAGUGAGUGUCGAAGACAGAGAGGUCGAGCUUGCAGAACGGAACAUACAUGGUGGUCAUAGCAGGGAGGAAGCUCAACGUCGGUAAGGUAUUAGGGAGAAGAACCGCAAGAUUUAGGUAGACGGAGAUUGGGCUCGACGUCGUAGUUAUGGCAGCAACCAUUGUCUGUGUUCAACGACUUGCGAGUCGGCUUCGCCAACGAGUUUUUUCACAGUUAAGAGCAAAAGAAAAGUUUCUAGCGAGUAAGGAUAGAUUAGUAAUUUCAUAUCAACUUUUGGUUAUAAUUAUCAUAAACUUAGAAGUGUGGCUAUAAUUUUAUAUGAGGUCCAAAUUUUGAUUAUUUUUCCAAAUUUCCAAACUUGGGUUGGGUCAACUUGAAUCUGACCAUAUUAUUUAGGGAACUUUAACGAAAAGCUCCCAAUACUGUUCACUUUAACGAAAAACCACAUUUUUACACUAAAAAGUCAAUCCUGAUACUAUUCACUUUACCCUUUAUUUUGUCCUUAUCGUUAAAACUCAAAGUUUUCAAAUCCUUUUCAUUAGUUAUCUUUAUUAUUUACAAAUUUUUAUCAUGUAUAAAGUUUAUAAUCAAAACCACUCAAUUAUUUAAUAUUCAUUUAUAAAUCAUUUAUAAAACAAAUGCCAAACUGCUUUGCACCGAAAAAGUGCCAAACGACUUGCCAAAGACCAGUGGGAUGAAUCAGAUGAACAUAAAAAAUAAAAAAUAAAAAAUAAAGCAUUUGGUGAAGGCCAGGACAGCAUGCAUCCUUUGGUGAAUGGCAUAAAAAGUUAAAUUUGUCUACUAACACAAGCGUUUAAAGACUUUUUUUUGUAUAACAUUUUGGUUUUAGUUUUAAUUUUUGUCUUAAAAAUAGAAGAGCGAAAAAAUGGAUAUAAAAGAGCGAAGGAAGAGUGAUUGCAAUGUUGUAAAAGAAUUGUCCAACAAAAGGUACACAAAACGAAAACUAAAAACCAAAAACUAUCUUCAGUUAUUUUUAUUUUCAAGAUCUUAUUUUGGGAAGAUGAUUUUCACUCUUUUUAGUCUAUCAUGCAUGAGAUAUUUUUCAGUGUGCUUAGAACAAAAGUACAUACGCUAUAUGUCAUUAUACAAAUGGUGAAACACUGGAAAAAAAAAAUGUUCCCUUGUAUAAUAACAUAUGACGUACCAGUUUGUGUUCUGAAAACAUUUAAAAAUCUCUCCUCAUGUACCCGUUUUUACUAUUAGAUUAAAUUAAUUAAACAUAAACAAUACUCUGAAUUAAGGGGAGUGUAUGAAACUAAAAAGAGUUUGUAUUCCUAUUUUUAGUUGCCCUCUUUUUGACCAUCCUCCUUCAUUUCUGAUUCUCUUACUCUCUACAUGUAAGCACAAAGACUAUAAACUGAAAUAAUUAUAAAUAAAUAAAACAUAUUAUAUAAAAAUAAUGUUAAAAAGAUCAAAUUUACAAAUAAAAUCCUCUCAUCUCUCAUUUACAAUAAAAAAGAAAAAAAAAGAAACAGCUGUUUUUCUUUUGGUAAAGAAAACAACCGUGUUUCUAAAUCACAACGGACGAGAAGUCAAAUCAAAAUUGAGGAGCAAAGCCUAAACUGAUCAUGCAUCUGAGUGACUGAGUCCUUAGAAAUAUAAAAUGAAUAAAGUAAAAUAUGGUGGCCGACGUUAUUGUAUUAUAUACAUCUCCCGCAGAAAGAGACGUUGUGAUUGCUUUCUAUUUGUCUUUUUCAUUCAUCUCUCGCGAAAAACUCUAAAGAAAAGGAAGUAGGAUUCCUUCUAUUUUUUUCUUUGUCUUUUAUUUGAACGAUCACGGUUAAAUUAUGUUAAUAUUUUAUAUUAAUUUUUUUUAUAGUAAAAGUAAGAUAAAAUAAAAGUAUAUAAAAGGAGAAAAUGAAAAAAAAUGAAAAAAAGAAAGAAUAAAAUCCUACACCAAAGAAAAGAACAAAGAAAGAGAAUCACAAAACGACUCUUUCUCCAAUCUCUAGAUUCCAUUAUAUAUCCACUUGCACUUUCUUCCGUCUCAAAACCCAACAAAAGAAGACCCUGGACCAAAAAAAAAUACCAAUUCAGCUAAUCUAAAUUAGUCAACACGUGUUAAUUUUCAUUUACGUGUCAAUUUGAAUUAUAAGUAUGAGAUGUCAAGUUGACGACAUACCUGGCCAUGAAAGUUUGUCCGUAUGUGAGAGUAAGAUUAAUGGCGUGUUUACGUAACAGUAAUGAAAAUAGAAGGAAUUGAAUUGAGAAGGAGUUGGAUUGAGGAGGAGUCAGAAUCGUAUUCCUGUUGAAGCUGUUUACUUAAAUAUUCUGAAAUCAGAAUAGAAUUUCAUAAAGCUGUUUACUAAUUCAGCAGAAUCGGAAUAUAAAUUAAUAUGAUUACUAAAAUACCCUUAUUCCAAAUAAAAUAUUUUAUAUACUUUAAUGGGUUUAUAAAUGAUAGUCUUGGAAAUAAAAAAAAAGUAAGUGGGGGCAUAAAAGGAACAAAAGUGUCAUUCCAAUUACCCAAAUAAUCAGGAAUUGGAUUACCACCUAUAUCUAGGGAAUCCAAUUCCACCAAUACAAGGAAUUGAAUUCCAAAAUUUAUGUGGGCACCACUGCUUUUUUUAUUCCUCCAUGUUUAGUAAACACUGAAGUACUUCAUAAUUGGAAUUCAAUUCCACAUUCUCAUUCUGAUUACGGAUACAUAAACACGCCCUCAAGAGAGAAUGGAAGAGGAAAAAGAUUACGAGGAAAGAGAAAUUGAUUCCAUAUAACCAUUAGCCGUCAGCUUUCUCAUCACCACCUACCGAUUGGUUUGAGAAAGAUGAAAACCAAAGGAAUCAUUUGAAUAGAUAAUCAGAAAAAUGCUGUGUCGGUGGCGUUACAUUCAGCACUCAAAUUUGCCAAAUACAAACGACUGAGAACGCAAAAAAGAAAAAUCUUGUAAAAUCACCCUACUGGUUUCUGCUACCGUAUCAACUAUCAAGCAAGUGCCAAUAAACUGCAUGUAUGUAUUUACCAUUAUCAGCAAUAACGUAUUUUCUGGGCCUUUUCUAAUCCUAACCACCUAUCCCAUCAUCCAUCCAUCCAUCCAAGCAAAGCAGCUGUUAGGGUAAGGACCACUCUCCCUGCGGAAGAGCUCAGCUUUCUACGAGAUUUAUACCCGUGGAAGUGCUGAAUCAACUGAAAGCGAUCGCUGCAAGUAUUUGAUGGAUGAUAAGGAAUGAUCACUUCCUUGUAAUUUCUUCUUUUGAUGGCCCAAGCUGAAACGAGGGUAAAAUGCCAUUUCAUCUAUUGAAUUAUUACUUCAGUUGAAAUUGACUCAUGAACUAUCUUUUUGCUCAAUUAACCCCAUAAACUAUUUGAAAUAAGCCAAUUGACCCCUUGUCGAUAGAUUUCAUUCACUACUUUGUUAAAUUCAAAGGAAAAUUAGUAUUUCUUUCAUCAAUUCUUAAUUGUCAACUAUAAGCAACAAUGUAAUUAUGACAUGUGAAAACAAAAUAAUGUGUAAUGACAAUGUAAGAUAAUCCGUUAUAUAAAUGUUUGGUUUUUUUUGUUUUCUUAUUAUGCUAUAUGUUUUUGAAUGAUUUUGUGUCCAUGUAUCACAAUUUCAUUGGUGAUUAUAGCUGACAAGUAAUAAUUAAUGAUGAAAUGACUAACUUGCCCAUAAAUUUGACGGAAUUGAUUCCGCUAUCUAAUGGCAAUGGGUUAAUUAACUGAUUUUAAAUAGUUUAGGGGGUUAAUUUAUAAAAAAAAUAGUUUAGUGGGUCAAUUUCAACUGGAGUGAUAAUUUAGGAAAUUAAACCGCAAUUUAUCCCUGAAACACAGAAUAGAUCAGCAAAACUUCACUGUUGCUUAACAACUUCCUUUAUAUGAGAAUAAGAGCAUCUCACAACACAGCCGGCAAAUUCAAACGACUUUAAAGCAAACAAAACGAAAAUUCUUACUAGAAAGCAAAACCAAAGCCACCACUUCGGAUGAUAAAAACAUAUUCCCAUCAAAUUAAAUGAACACAACGACAAAAAAGUAAAUGAACAAAUUCAAAAGCAGUCUCCGCUACAGAAACCGCAACAAAGCAAAGGGUACAAGACUAGUGAUCUCAGCAAGGAGCUCAGAAACCCAUUAUAGCAGAAAGAAUUCCUGUAAAAUUUUAAUUCACAGUCGUGUUACAAGCCACAUGAAGGCGGCGGACCAGAAUGUAAGCGACAGUGAAGCAAAGGCAUAAGUCCACAACAUGAUAACUGAACAUUCAUUCUCUCCUGCUCCGAAUAAUUGCGUCAUUGUUCCUGCCAUAUUUUAAAGGAUCAAUAAACAAUACUUGACAAUAAAUUUACAUUUGUUACGAUAUAGAGUGAGCGAGCAACUUCUGAUUGCACUUUUUUGUUGCUAAACAGCAGGAGCAAGCGUACCUAUGUUCAUCGCAGGUGGGAGUGAAAAUUGAAGCAGAAGAACAAACAGAUAUAAUGGAUCAGAGUGCACCAACCCAAAUUUCAGUGCCCCUUUAAUAACCAAUAUGCCUAUAAGAGGCAGGGCAACAUAACGAACAACGAUGAUGCCAACGACAAGAGAUUUCUGAAUCCCUGACCCUCUCAAACCUGCAACAACAAUGUGAAGUAGGUUCUAAACUAAACCAACAAUUAAGUACAUCACUAACAGAAUUUGUAUGGGUUAUUACCUUUAAGUAGGUUUCCUCCUAUUAUCAAAGUGAGAGCUGGGAUGGCUCCGUUCCUGCAAUCAUAAAGAACAAGUCUCUUUAACUGAUGCUGAGUGAACAACAAAAAUGAUACAAACACUUUGUAUAAAGAACAUGCUCGUCUAUUGAGCCGAAAUUCAAAAACCAUCUGGUCUGAGCAUGUUUUGUAAAGUCGGGAUUAACACCAGACAAGUAUUCUACUUUUAUGCUAAUUGAGAACCAAAUUAUUCAUCCGGAUAUGUACAACUAUUGGACCAAGCAUGGUUAGUAUCUUCCCUAGUAUGUAAUAGUAUUAAGAACGGGAAGCUAGAUUAGUUGCCAAUAAGUGCAUAGAUCGUGGAUAAAUUAUUAAG
Molecule: long non-coding RNA, 23369 nt
Filed under: Malus domestica (apple)
Lineage: Eukaryota; Viridiplantae; Streptophyta; Magnoliopsida; Rosales; Rosaceae
Description: long non-coding RNA (MDOM_LNC005442)
Source: RNAcentral